AUUUUUGGAACUAGGAGUUGGAA
Molecule: non-coding RNA, 23 nt
Filed under: Cricetulus griseus (Chinese hamster)
Lineage: Eukaryota; Metazoa; Chordata; Mammalia; Rodentia; Cricetidae
Source: RNAcentral